Molecule: ribosomal RNA, 485 nt
Filed under: uncultured bacterium
Lineage: Bacteria
Description: bacterial SSU rRNA
Rfam family: Bacterial small subunit ribosomal RNA
Source: RNAcentral
UGGGCGCAAGCCUGAUCCAGCAAUGCCGCGUGUGUGAAGAAGGCCUUCGGGUUGUAAAGCACUUUUGUCCGGAAAGAAAACCUCUGGGUUAAUACCCCGGGGGGAUGACGGUACCGGAAGAAUAAGCACCGGCUAACUACGUGCCAGCAGCCGCGGUAAUACGUAGGGUGCAAGCGUUAAUCGGAAUUACUGGGCGUAAAGCGUGCGCAGGCGGUGAUGCAAGACCGAUGUGAAAUCCCCGGGCUUAACCUGGGAACUGCAUUGGUGACUGCAUCGCUAGAGUAUGGCAGAGGGGGGUAGAAUUCCACGUGUAGCAGUGAAAUGCGUAGAGAUGUGGAGGAAUACCGAUGGCGAAGGCAGCCCCCUGGGCCAAUACUGACGCUCAUGCACGAAAGCGUGGGGAGCAAACAGGAUUAGAUACCCUGGUAGUCCACGCCCUAAACGAUGUCAACUGGUUGUCGGGCCUUCAUUGGCUUGGUAACGUA